RNAcentral lists this transfer RNA (72 nucleotides) under Parcubacteria group bacterium. RNAcentral describes it as "tRNA-Glu". It matches the Rfam family "tRNA". Rfam says of the family: Transfer RNA (tRNA) molecules are approximately 80 nucleotides in length. Their secondary structure includes four short double-helical elements and three loops (D, anti-codon, and T loops). The record is from RNAcentral.
GGCCCUAUCGUCUAACGGUUAGGACGUCAGGUUUUCAUCCUGGAAAUCGGGGUUCGAUUCCCCGUAGGGUCA